Molecule: non-coding RNA, 475 nt
Organism: Macaca mulatta (Rhesus monkey)
Lineage: Eukaryota; Metazoa; Chordata; Mammalia; Primates; Cercopithecidae
Source: RefSeq, a predicted model, not a curated record
AAGAAUGAUACAAUGGGAGAAGUCUGUGAGGGCUGGGCUUGCGAGAGGAUCAACAUGCCUUUGGCUAGAGAUUUACUACAUCCAUCCUUGGAAGAGGAAAAGAAAAAACAUAAAAAGAAACGCCUGGUACAAAGUCCAAAUUCUUACUUUAUGGAUGUAAAAUGCCCAAGUUGCUACAAGAUCACCACGGUUUUCAGCCAUGCUCAGACAGUGGUUCUUUGUGUGGGUUGUUCAACAGUGUUGUGCCAGCCUACAGGAGGAAAGGCCAGACUCACAGAAGGGUGUUCAUUUAGAAGAAAGCAACACUAAUGAUUCAAACAGCUUCCUGAAUUUUGUGUUAUCUCACAGAAAGCCUUAUCAUAAAUUCCAUAGUUCUAAUUAAUUUACCAAGAUAAUGUAAUUACAUUUGGUUUUGUAAGUAUACAACAGUAAUCUCCUAUUUUGGUGUCCGUUUUCAAUAAAGUUUUGAUAUGGA